This 900-nucleotide ribosomal RNA is filed under the name Proteus mirabilis. Its description in RNAcentral is "partial 23S ribosomal RNA". It matches the Rfam family "Bacterial large subunit ribosomal RNA", at positions 1917 to 2816 of the family's 2925-position model. Lineage: Bacteria; Pseudomonadati; Pseudomonadota; Gammaproteobacteria; Enterobacterales; Morganellaceae. The record is from RNAcentral.
GCCCCAGUAAACGGCGGCCGUAACUAUAACGGUCCUAAGGUAGCGAAAUUCCUUGUCGGGUAAGUUCCGACCUGCACGAAUGGCGUAAUGAUGGCCAGGCUGUCUCCACCCGAGACUCAGUGAAAUUGAACUCGCUGUGAAGAUGCAGUGUACCCGCGGCAAGACGGAAAGACCCCGUGAACCUUUACUAUAGCUUGACACUGAACAUUGAGCCUUGAUGUGUAGGAUAGGUGGGAGGCUUUGAAGUGUGGACGCCAGUCUGCAUGGAGCCAACCUUGAAAUACCACCCUUUAACGUUUGAUGUUCUAACCUAGGCCCAUAAACUGGGUCGGGGACCGUGUCUGGUGGGUAGUUUGACUGGGGCGGUCUCCUCCUAAAGAGUAACGGAGGAGCACGAAGGUUGGCUAAGCAUGGUCGGACAUCAUGCGGUUAGUGCAAAGGCAUAAGCCAGCUUGACUGCGAGAGUGACGGCUCGAGCAGGUACGAAAGUAGGUCUUAGUGAUCCGGUGGUUCUGAAUGGAAGGGCCAUCGCUCAACGGAUAAAAGGUACUCCGGGGAUAACAGGCUGAUACCGCCCAAGAGUUCAUAUCGACGGCGGUGUUUGGCACCUCGAUGUCGGCUCAUCACAUCCUGGGGCUGAAGUAGGUCCCAAGGGUAUGGCUGUUCGCCAUUUAAAGUGGUACGCGAGCUGGGUUUAGAACGUCGUGAGACAGUUCGGUCCCUAUCUGCCGUGGGCGUUGGAAGAUUGAGAGGGGUUGCUCCUAGUACGAGAGGACCGGAGUGAACGCACCACUGGUGUUCGGGUUGUCAUGCCAAUGGCAUUGCCCGGUAGCUAAGUGCGGAAGAGAUAACCGCUGAAAGCAUCUAAGCGGGAAACUUGCCUCGAGAUGAGUCUUCCCU